Long non-coding RNA from Mus musculus (house mouse), 1897 nucleotides. RefSeq annotates it as predicted gene, 36139. The transcript is spliced from 3 exons. The record is from RefSeq and is a predicted model, not a curated record. Lineage: Eukaryota; Metazoa; Chordata; Mammalia; Rodentia; Muridae.
UCAUCUAUCUAAUAUCUAUUUACCAAACGUUUAGGAACUUGAAGCUACUUAGCAUUCGGUGGUAAGAAUAAAGGGGCAGUCGGGCAGGGCGUGGCUGAUUUACAGAAGCCUGGGAUGAAACAGCCAAGGACAGCGUCAACGGAGGAAACAGAAAAAAAUAUCUGAGAGCAAAGGACAAAGGGAGAAUCUGACAUCGGGAACAUAGCAAAACUCCAUCCAUACCUUGAAGGAAGGGGAGACAGAGAAGCCCCCCCCCCCCCAGGGCUAGUGGGGGUGGGAUUGGGGGAAUGGACCUAGGAGUGGUGGACAGAGGAAGAAGAGACAAAGGAGACCCCUCCUGGGGUUUGUGCUUAAAAGCUCACCCUGAGGAAGGCAAGGGCUACACCGGGAUCCUAAAACUCAGUGUAGUCGCCAGCCAGCUAAUAAAGACUUCCUUAAACGCCUGUCUGAGCAGUCCUCUCUGGUUCAGGACGCCCCUAACAACAGCUCUUGGUAGAGCAGAGGUUUGAGAUCAGGUGUGAAACCUUGCAAAAGAGUCAUUUUCCAGUUUCAGUGUUGCUGGAAUAUCACCACUGGGCAGAGCCCUUGCCUUGCCUCCCACUGGAACACCGAAGAGAGAUGGAAAGGGGCGCACACGGAGGACACUCAGAACAGUCUGUAAGAUUCAACUUAUCUAAGAAACUGCUUGCAACUGAACUUUGAUAGGCACGACUGUGGUGGCAAGAGAGAGAAGCAGUUUGAGGAAGUGCGUCUAGAAGAUACUUAAAAAGGAAUAGAGAGGAAGUUCUCUGCCAUGCAUAUGCAAAUUCCGAUUUGUAUUUGAGCCUGCCAAUAAAUCCUUCUGGAAGUUUUUUUAUUUUUUUUUUUUUUGCAUUUAUGUAUUUUAUGUCGCAUUAAACUGUGCCAUUUUUGGAUUUAUUCUUUAUUUCUUUAUUUAUUUAUUAUAUCUAAGUACUCUGUAGUUGUCUUCAGAUGCACCAGAAGAGGGCGUCAGAUCUCAUUACGGAUGGUUGUGAGCCACCAUGUGGUUGAUGGGAUUUGAACUCAGGACCUUUGGAAGAGCUGUCAGUGUUCUUAACCACUGAGCCAUCUCAGGCCGUGGAUUUAUUCUUAAUAAUCCAUUUUGGAGAGUUUACAUUGAGCUGCUGAUAAAGACCAUCUUCACUUAAUGAAGCAAACUGGAAAGUAUAGUGUGUUGUAUGAUCUUCAUAUAUCAUGGCUCCAUUGCAGAAUGAGCUUGGUUCUAUUCUGAAUACUGAAGAAAUGUAGAAAGAAGGAGACUACAUUUGGUGACAAUUAUGGAAUGAAAUUGAGGCACAUGCGGGUGAUAUUUUUAUUAAUUGCCCUUCAGUAUUCGUUUCCAUUCUUAGCAAUAGCUUUGGAUUUUACCUUGCUGAGAAUAAAGACUGUUUCCCAUCUCGACUGAAGCAAUUCGUGGCCACGUGCCUAAGUGCCGGAGAGUGGACUAUGGGUAAAGGUAUGCUACUUUCUCUAUUUUUCCAAGAAUGGGAAACGAAGGAAGCUUGUGAAUAGAAAUCUAGUCUUUUGGACCCUGGAGCUCCACAUCAAUGUUAAAUAAUCGACUUCUAGGGUUUUCUAUGAGGAAGGAACUGGUUUGUUUAAACCUAUAUCAUAUUAGGUAUAAUUUUGGGGUAGGGGAAACAGGACAGAAUUUCAACUGAUGUGUAAUUAUAAAUUUGGAGGUUGAUUUUAGCAUUUUUUUUCUGUUAAAGUGAUGUCACGCUGAAUUCUAGAGUUUGAGAUUCUGUUUUUAGAGGCCUCACACUUUAGAUUGGGCCACUCCUAUUCAAGCUGAAGUAAUGUUGAUGUAAAAGCCAAUAUAUGUUAUUCAGUGGCUGUUAUUCAAGUUUCUAAGAAUAGAGAAGUGUGAAAGUAA